AAAAAAAUUAUCCUUUCUUGGAUAUUUUAAAAGCCAUCAAAUGGAGUCCUGUAUCUCCAAGCAAACACACUAAAGAAUUUCUACUUUUUCAACUAUAAUAAGACUGUCAUGCAAUCAUUUGUACAAUUUCCAUCAAUUUCUCUGCCUUAAACCCUCUCCACAAUGAUUUAAACCCAAUACAUAGAAUAUAUAAGUUCAAAUUUCCACAGCCAGUAAAUUAUUAUCUUCUUUUUAGAACAAAUAUUGAGUCUUUGAAUAAAGGCAGGUUACAGAUAGGAGCUUUGAGGGAGAGUGUGUCAUUCUUGGGAGUCAAGGAGGGGUAAAAAUGGGACUCUAUAGAGGACGGGAAGGGUGGCUACGGUGAGAUUCGAAAAAUGCUUUAACGGUAUUGGUGUAGGAGGAGGUGGCGGCAGCAGUUGUGGGAAGGUUAAAAGUGAAAUUGCGCGAGUUUUGGGGAAUCAUGCUUUGGCAAUUCUCUUGACAUAUCUCUUUAUGAUUGGGCAAGUGGGUUGGCUUCUCGAUGCUAUUGUGGCCCUCUGGCUGGUUAAUUCCCAGUUUACUUGUUGCAGCUGUGUCCUUUUUGUAGUCAGCCAUUCUCAGGUAAGAGAUGUAGAUUUAGGCCAACCAUAUCCGAUUUGUAUGUGCCUCGCAUCGUUCUUUUACUUCUUGUAGUGGUAGGUGAUGAGUUUGUAGCAGGUCAAGUUCUCCAAUGAAUCCACAAUAUUCGACCAAGCAUUCAGUGACUUCUCUCCUUUUACAAAGAAAGAUUUGCUUCAACUCUGUACAUCAGAUUGAUUACAGAAUGAGGUCACGAAAUUUUUGCCUUAAAGUUUGGCAAUAAAACCCAAAAUUUAUCAAGAUUCUAACUUUCGUUGUCAUCCAGGGAAGCAUUCAUCUGUUUUAAGUUAUUGACGUUGAAGCAGAAAUAAGAGAUGCAGAUUGAGUUUUUUAGUUGUUAUGAACUAAACGAGGGUCAAUUGCGCUCGUUCCAGUCAACACAAGGUUACUACUGGAAUCUCAACAUACAAUUAUAAAGAAAAAUGAAGAAAAGGAGCUUCUAACACUUCCACCCUGAUCCGAGGUUAUCAACAACAAGUGACAUCUCAAAGAGAUCAUAAUCUGCAUCCGAUCUAGAAUCUAA
This is a long non-coding RNA of Olea europaea var. sylvestris, 1141 nucleotides long. RefSeq lists it as uncharacterized. The record is from RefSeq and is a predicted model, not a curated record. The transcript is spliced from 3 exons. Lineage: Eukaryota; Viridiplantae; Streptophyta; Magnoliopsida; Lamiales; Oleaceae.